Molecule: ribosomal RNA, 589 nt
Filed under: uncultured fungus
Lineage: Eukaryota; Fungi
Description: eukaryotic LSU rRNA
Rfam family: 5.8S ribosomal RNA (bases 225-378)
Source: RNAcentral
CUUGGUCAUUUAGAGGAAGUAAAAGUCGUAACAAGGUCUCCGUAGGUGAACCUGCGGAGGGAUCAUUACAAGUGACCCCGGUCUAACCACCGGGAUGUUCAUAACCCUUUGUUGUCCGACUCUGUUGCCUCCGGGGCGACCCUGCCUUCGGGCGGGGGCUCCGGGUGGACACUUCAAACUCUUGCGUAACUUUGCAGUCUGAGUAAACUUAAUUAAUAAAUUAAAACUUUUAACAACGGAUCUCUUGGUUCUGGCAUCGAUGAAGAACGCAGCGAAAUGCGAUAAGUAAUGUGAAUUGCAGAAUUCAGUGAAUCAUCGAAUCUUUGAACGCACAUUGCGCCCCCUGGUAUUCCGGGGGGCAUGCCUGUUCGAGCGUCAUUUCACCACUCAAGCCUCGCUUGGUGUUGGGCAACGCGGUCCGCCGCGUGCCUCAAAUCGACCGGCUGGGUCUUCUGUCCCCUAAGCGUUGUGGAAACUAUUCGCUAAAGGGUGUUCGGGAGGCUACGCCGUAAAACAACCCCAUUUCUAAGGUUGACCUCGGAUCAGGUAGGGAUACCCGCUGAACUUAAGCAUAUCAAUAAGCGGAGGA